This 2712-nucleotide ribosomal RNA is filed under the name Triticum aestivum (bread wheat). RNAcentral describes it as "partial small subunit ribosomal RNA". Lineage: Eukaryota; Viridiplantae; Streptophyta; Magnoliopsida; Poales; Poaceae. The record is from RNAcentral.
AUGGAGCAUCCGAUGCAAAGGAGCGACGAGGGCGGCCUGCGCGGCAGCAGCAUGCGUGCCGGCAUGGACGAGCUGGAUCUCAUGGAGGAGUUCCUGCUCGCGUCGCCCGGGCCAGACUUCCCCGAGUUCCUGCACCCCGGCGGCGCGUCGCCGAGCCCCUUCUCCCCGCUCUUUGACCUCGGCAGCACCAUCACCACCGCCCCGGCCGGCGGCGGCGACGACGACGGCGAGGACGGGGACGACGAGUCGCGCCGCGCGUGGCUGAUCCAGCCGCAGGAGGCGCCGGCGUCGGUGAAGGAGCGGCUGGGGCGCGCGCUGCAGGGCAUCGCGUCGCGGUCGCGCGGGGCGGCGGGCGAGCUGCUGGUGCAGGUGUGGGUGCCCACGCGCAUCGGCGACCGCCAGGUGCUCACCACCUGCGGCCAGCCCUUCUGGCUCGACCGCCGCAGCGACCGCCUCGAGAGCUACCGCACCGUGUCCGUCAAGUACCAGUUCUCCGCCGACGAGACCUCCUGCGCCGAGCUGGGGCUCCCCGGCCGCGUCUUCGUCGGCCGCGUCCCCGAGUGGACGCCCGACGUGCGCCUCUUCACCGACAACGAGUACCCGCGCGUCCGCUACGCGCAGCACUUCGACAUCCGCGGCAGCGUCGCCAUGCCGGUCUUCGAGCGCCGCACCGGCGCGUGCCUCGGCGUCGUCGAGCUCGUCAUGACCACCCAGAAGAUCAACUACAACGCCGAGAUCGACAACAUUUGCAACGCUCUCAAGGAGGUUGAUCUCAGAGGUUCUGAUGUUUCAAGCGAUCCUCGCGCACAGGUGGUCGAUACUUCCUACCGAGCAAUUGUACCAGAGAUCGCGCAUGUUCUCAAAGCUGUUUGUGAGACCCAUAAGUUGCCACUGGCCCAGACAUGGAUACCCUGCGUCUGCCAGGCCAAAAGGGCGAGCCGCCACUCCGACGAAAAAUACAAGUACUGUGUCUCCACCGUGGACGAAGCGUGUUAUGUCGGCGAUCCCGCCAUGACUGGCUUUCACCAGGCUUGCUCCGAGCAUCAUCUGUUCAGGGGUGAGGGUGUUGUCGGCACGGCGCUCGGGACAAAUGAGCCAUGUUUCUGCCCAGACAUUACUGCCUACAGCAAGGUCCAAUACCCUCUCUCACAUUAUGCAAAGCUUUUCGGCCUAAGGGCCGCGGUGGCAAUUCGGCUGCGAAGCGUCAAGACCGGGAGUAUGGAUCUUAUCUUGGAAUUUUUCUUGCCAAACAACUGCAUAAAUAGUGAAGAGCAAGGGAACAUGCUCAAUUCUCUGUCCAAUACCAUACAACAAGCCUCCUGUACACUGCGAGUUGUCGGCGUGAAAGAACUGGCGAAUGAUGGAUCGCCUGAAACUAGCUCGCCAACCCCACCAGAAGUUUGUGACAAGCCUGCUGAAAUCUUGGAUGAGCUUGCUAGUGGCAUUGAUAUUCCUGCAAGGACAACAUCAGUGGAUGCUUCCGAGGAGGUAUCUUCAUGGAUUGCAAGCCUUGUGGAUGUUCAGAAUAAUGCGGCGCAGGCAGAAACAGAUUGUGGCCUGCCAUUUGGGUUCAGGAAACAAGAGGAUGAAGGGUUUAGUGUAACAGCUGGCUGGCCAACUUCACCGGUGCUAGUACCUGAAGAUAAAAGUUUCUUUCCAGGGUUUAAGAAGCAUGAAGAAUAUGAGGCCAAGGGUUCACCUUUUUCCAGUGAUCGAAGCCUCUCAAACUCAGACAAAGCAAUAGAGAAGCGGCGAACUAAAAUUGAGAAAACGGUGAGCCUGCAAGAACUCCGGAAGCAUUUCGCUGGUAGUUUGAAAGAAGCUGCAAAGAAUUUAGGAGUGUGCCCUACUACAUUGAAGAGAAUAUGCAGACAUCAUGGAAUUGAUCGUUGGCCAUCAAGGAAGAUCAAGAAAGUUGGGCACUCUCUAAAGAAAUUGCAAAUGGUCAUUGAUUCGGUACAUGGAGCUGAAGGAACAGUUCGGCUGAGUUCACUCUAUGAGAAUUUCACCAAGACUACAUGGUCAGAAAGAGAAUUGCACGGAGAUCUGAGUUAUCCAGCAUCAGAGCAAAAGGUUCAGCUGGAGCCUUCAGUUCCUGAUCGACAGUGCGAGAGCAGAUUCAGUCCCCAUACCUCUGGCUCUAAUUCCCUCUCACCCACCUACAGCCAGAGCUCAAAUUCUAGCCUGGGCUGCUCCAGCGAUCCAAAGCCUCAACAACAGCAAAGCAGCGCUCCUCAGCUUGCGGUGAAGCAGGAAUUUUUCAUGGAGGAGAAUCAGAGUUCGACACAGAUGAAAGCUGCGAGCCACGACGAACUGCAGUUAUUUACUGAAGAGAAACCUGUCACCCUUUGUAGGUCUCAGAGUCACAUGCUAUUCAGUGAACACAAACCAAUGGCAAACAUGUCAGGCAUGCAAGAAGCCAAGCCUGAUUCUCUCAAGAUAAAAGCCAUGUAUGGCGAGGAAAGAUGCAUAUUCCGGCUUCAGCCUAGUUGGGGCUUUGAAAAGCUAAAAGAAGAAAUCGCAAAGCGGUUCGGCAUUUCUCGGGAAAUUUAUGACCUCAAGUACUUGGAUGAUGAGUCGGAGUGGGUUCUUUUGACAUGUGAUGCAGACCUUCUGGAGUGUAUCGAUGUGUACAAGUCAUCAAGUGCUAAAACAGUUAGGAUCUCUGUGAACCCUACAGUUCAACCGGCACUCCGUGGUUCCUUCGGUUAA